RNAcentral lists this ribosomal RNA (497 nucleotides) under uncultured bacterium. Its description in RNAcentral is "partial 16S ribosomal RNA". It matches the Rfam family "Bacterial small subunit ribosomal RNA", at positions 28 to 507 of the family's 1533-position model. The record is from RNAcentral.
GAUGAACGCUGGCGGCGUGCCUAAUACAUGCCAGUCGAGCGAACAGACGAGGAACUUGCUCCUCUGACGUUAUCGGCGGACGGGGGAGUAACACGUGGAUAACAUACCUAUAAGACUGGGAUAAAUUCGGGAAACCGGAGCUAAUACCGGAUAAUAGAUUGAACCGCAUCGUUCAAUAGUGAAAAAAGGUUUUUCUGUCACUUAUGCAUUGAUCCACGCCGCAUUUUCUAGUUGGUAAGGUAAAGGCUGAGCAAGGCAACGAUGCGAAGCCGACCGGGGAGGGUGAUCGGCCAAACGGGAACUGGGACACGCCCCAAACUCCUAGGGGAGGCAGCAGGGGGGAAUCUUCCGCAAUGGGCGAAAGCCUGACGGAGCACCGCGGCGUGAGUGAGGAAGGUCUUCGGAUCGUAAAACUCUGUUAUCAGGGAGGAACAAAUGUGUAAGUAACUAUGCACGUAUUGACGGUACCUAAUCAGAAAGCCACGGCUAACUACGUG